AGCAUGUGGUUUAAUUUCGAAGACAACGCGAAGAACCUUACCAGGUCUUGACAUGCCGCUGACCGGUUUAGAGAUAGAUCUUUACCCUUCGGGGUACAGCGGACACAGGUGGUGCAUGGUUGUCGUCAGCUCGUGUCGUGAGAUGUUGGGUUAAGUCCCGCAACGAGCGCAACCCUUGUCUUUAGUUGCCAUCAUUAAGUUGGGCACUCUAAAGAGACUGCCGAUGACAAAUCGGAGGAAGGUGGGGAUGACGUCAAAUCAUCAUGCCCUUUAUGUCCUGGGCUACACACGUGCUACAAUGGUCGGUACAACGAGAAGCAAGUCAGCGAUGGCAAGCAAAUCUCUAAAAGCCGAUCCCAGUUCGGAUUGCAGGCUGCAACUCGCCUGCAUGAAGUCGGAGUUGCUAGUAAUCGCGGAUCAGAAUGCCGCGGUGAAUGCGUUCCCGGGUCUU
RNAcentral lists this ribosomal RNA (451 nucleotides) under uncultured Eubacteriales bacterium. Its description in RNAcentral is "bacterial SSU rRNA". It matches the Rfam family "Bacterial small subunit ribosomal RNA", at positions 936 to 1382 of the family's 1533-position model. Lineage: Bacteria; Bacillati; Bacillota; Clostridia; Eubacteriales. The record is from RNAcentral.